AGGUCGCAGAGAAUCGGUGGCUGCGACUGUUUAACAAAAACACAGCACUGUGCCAACACGAAAGUGGACGUAUACGGUGUGACGCCUGCCCGGUGCCGGAAGGUUAAGUGAUGGGGUGCAAGCUCUUGAUCGAAGCCCCGGUAAACGGCGGCCGUAACUAUAACGGUCCUAAGGUAGCGAAAUUCCUUGUCGGGUAAGUUCCGACCCGCACGAAUGGCGUAACGAUGGCCACACUGUCUCCUCCUGAGACUCAGCGAAGUUGAAGUGUUUGUGAAGAUGCAAUCUCCCCGCUGCUAGACGGAAAGACCCCGUGAACCUUUACUGUAGCUUUGCAUUGGACUUUGAAGUGGUUUGUGUAGGAUAGGUGGGAGGCUAAGAAGCCAGGACGCUAGUUCUGGUGGAGCCGACCUUGAAAUACCACCCUGACCCCUUUGAGGUUCUAACCUUGGUCCGUAAUCCGGAUUGGGGACAGUGCAUGGUAGGCAGUUUGACUGGGGCGGUCUCCUCCCAAAGUGUAACGGAGGAGUUCGAAGGUUACCUAGGUACGGUCGGAAAUCGUGCUGAUAGUGCAAUGGCAAAAGGUAGCUUAACUGCGAGACCGACAAGUCGAGCAGGUGCGAAAGCAGGACAUAGUGAUCCGGUGGUUCUGAAUGGAAGGGCCAUCGCUCAACGGAUAAAAGGUACUCCGGGGAUAACAGGCUGAUACCGCCCAAGAGUUCACAUCGACGGCGGUGUUUGGCACCUCGAUGUCGGCUCAUCACAUCCUGGGGCUGUAGCCGGUCCCAAGGGUAUGGCUGUUCGCCAUUUAAAGUGGUACGUGAGCUGGGUUCAAAACGUCGUGAGACAGUUUGGUCCCUAUCUGCAGUGGGCGUUGGAAGUUUGACGGGGGCUGCUCCUAGUACGAGAGGACCGGAGUGGACGCACCUCUGGUGUACCGGUUGUGACGCCAGUCGCAUCGCCGGGUAGCUAAGUGCGGAAGAGAUAACCGCUGAAAGCAUCUAAGCGGGAAACUUGCCUGAAGAUGAGACUUCCCUGGAGGCUUGACCUCCCUGAAGAGUCGUUCGAGACCAGGACGUUGAUAGGUCGGGUGUGGAAGCGCUGUGAGGCGUGAAGCUAACCGAUACUAAUUGCUCGUGAGGCUUGAUCCUAU
Molecule: ribosomal RNA, 1150 nt
Filed under: Chromobacterium amazonense
Lineage: Bacteria; Pseudomonadati; Pseudomonadota; Betaproteobacteria; Neisseriales; Chromobacteriaceae
Description: bacterial LSU rRNA
Rfam family: Bacterial large subunit ribosomal RNA
Source: RNAcentral